This 252-nucleotide ribosomal RNA is filed under the name uncultured bacterium. RNAcentral's name for it is "partial 16S ribosomal RNA". It matches the Rfam family "Bacterial small subunit ribosomal RNA", at positions 524 to 776 of the family's 1533-position model. The record is from RNAcentral.
UACGUAGGGCGCAAGCGUUAUCCGGAAUUAUUGGGCGUAAAGAGCUCGUAGGCGGUUUGUCGCGUCUGCUGUGAAAGACCGGGGCUCAACUCCGGUUCUGCAGUGGGUACGGGCAGACUAGAGUGCAGUAGGGGAGACUGGAAUUCCUGGUGUAGCGGUGAAAUGCGCAGAUAUCAGGAGGAACACCGAUGCGAAGGCAGGUCUCUGGGCUGUAACUGACGCUGAGGAGCGAAGGCGUGGGGAGCGAACAGG